AGCAGCCGCGGUAAUUCCAGCUCCAAUAGCGUAUAUUAAAGUUGUUGCAGUUAAAAGCUCGUAGUUGAAUUUCGGGGUUAGCAGGUCGGUCGUGCCAUCGGUAUGAACUGGUCUCGCUGGUCCCUUCCUCUUGACGAACUGUGAUGCCAUUAAUUUGGUGUCGCAGGGAAUCAGGACUGUUACUUUGAAAAAAUUAGAGUGUUUAAAGCAGGCUCACGCUUGAAUACAUUAGCAUGGAAUAAUGAAAUAGGACGUUUGAUCCUAUUUUGUUGGCUUCUAGGAUUGACGUAAUGAUUAAUAGGGAUAGUUGGGGGCAUUAGUAUUCAAUUGUCAGAGGUGAAAUUCUUGGAUUUAUUGAAGACUAACUACUGCGAAAGCAUUUUGCCAAGGAUGUUUUCAUUAAUCAAGAACGAAAGUUAGGGGAUCGAAGACGAUCAGAUACCGUCGUAGUCUUAACCAUAAACUAUGCCGACUAGGGAUCGGAUGAUGUUAAUUUUUUAAUGACUCAUUCGGUGCCUUA
This 520-nucleotide ribosomal RNA is filed under the name uncultured Glomus. RNAcentral describes it as "SSU rRNA". It matches the Rfam family "Eukaryotic small subunit ribosomal RNA", at positions 569 to 1090 of the family's 1831-position model. Lineage: Eukaryota; Fungi; Glomeromycota; Glomeromycetes; Glomerales; Glomeraceae. The record is from RNAcentral.